This 2035-nucleotide long non-coding RNA is filed under the name Homo sapiens (human). RNAcentral's name for it is "long non-coding RNA NONHSAT196009.1". Lineage: Eukaryota; Metazoa; Chordata; Mammalia; Primates; Hominidae. The record is from RNAcentral.
UAGGCUUUUCAGUCACAGCACCCUCUGUGACAAACGUGUGGAGCACCGCACGACUUCUUCAACCAGCUGGUUUUUCUGGCAUUCGAAUAAAAGUAAAAAUAGAAAACAAAGAGGGAGAAGAAAAGUGACAAGCUGAAACCUGCGAAGAGAAAGAGGACAAGAACCUGUAUGUACCCAGUGGUGUGGAUAAAUCGUUAUGUAUCUGCCUACGCAUUGUCAGAAAUACAGCAGCCUAAGUAGCCAUUCAAGGAAUUUAGAGUAAAGUACCAUGGUCAGAAUUCAAGAUAUAGCCACUACAGGAUCUGAAAUGCCAUCUGUUCCAACCGCACGACAUCCCCAUUCAGCAGGCUCACAAGGCUGGCAUAGACAGGAAGAGGGACCCCUCUGUUGUCCUCUACUCUCUUCUUCAACUGAGCAAUGAGCAGAAGAUUUAAGUUUGGGAUUUUUUCACUAUUUUUCCCAAACGCAUGAACAGGUUCUUCUCAAACUGCAAGAGUCGAUUCAAAAUCCAGACAGCUUUCACCACCCAAGGAUUCAGGGAAGUGUUUAUUUCUUUGUCUCAGAAUCUCUUUAAACAUGGUAAGGACAAAGUCAUAAGAAGUGUGCAUGGUAUAGAAUCAAAGUACCUUUGGCAGUGAUAUAGGUCUGUUCCAGGCACCUACAAUGACAAAUUGUAAAUAGCCACGUCCAAUAAGUUUAUGCGUAACCUUACCUGACUUUUCCAUGGAACUCCAUUAUAUAACUAGAAGCAUUUCUCCACAAGCGGAAAAAAAAUGGAACCAGAAGAGAAACAAAGCACAUUUGAGCAUACAAUAAAUAAUGAUAUGAUGAAAAGUCAAAGGGAAAUAAAGGACAUUUGAAAGGAAUAAAAAAUCACAGAUGGGGAGAAAUGAACAAGUUGAUCUGGUCUUGAGGGAGGAGGAGGCACAGGAACACAGUAAAGGAACCUAUCUGAGGAGCUGCAGACAUGAACCAACAAAGGUCAAACCCCACCUGGAAAAUGAAUUGUGUCCAAAUGAGACCCCUUUAAUGACAGGAUUUGAAACAAUCUCAUUAUGAAACAAUUGCAGUCAAUGGGAAUCCUGAGUCUUCAAGGAAGUAAAAAGAAAAAAAAAUCUCUGUUAUCCUCACAUAUUUAAAGAUUCUCAUAUAAAAGCUUCUCCGAAGAGAACAGCUUGUCCUGUUUAGCUUCAAAGAAGAGAAUGAGGAGGAAGGUCGAGGGAAAAUUACAGAAAAGCAGACUUUGACUUGACACGUGGAAGGACUUCUCACUAAUGCUAUUCCCAAAUACAAUGAGUUGUUUCCGUGAUUGGAGGACUUGAAGAUGUAUAAGUUAUCCACAGGGAUGUUGCAGAGGAAAUUUGACCAUCAUAUGGGUGAAUUAACUGAUAUCUAUGAUCUUUAUUUCUCCUGAGAGUCCAUAAAAGUGAGAUAAUUGUUUGGAAAUUUGACGUAUACCUCUUGGAAUCUGAGGAGCAUGAAGAUCAGUGUAUGACUCUUGCCUGAAAUCAAGGAGAAAGGAAAACCCUGUCAAUGGCACAAAUUUCCAAAGUUUGGGAUGACAAGGACAUGUGAGUUUUUCGCCAGAAGAGCCUGAAGCAAUACUGCAAGUGGGUGCUUUGGUACUGCUUUGAAGCAUCUUUCCAGACUCUGCAGUAGCCAAGGCCUGUGACUCCAGUCCCUGAGAAAGUACCAUCAGGAGCAAUACGUAAGCUUUUCAGGGACAAAGAACCUUGUCCUCUUAAUCUGGAUUCACAAUUCACAAUUAUACCCCUAGCCUGCCCAACGCCUUUUUCUCAGUCUCUGAGAAGUAUUGACUCUCUUUUACCUAAGAGCAGGAGUCGGAGUCCUGUCCAUCUCUGAAAACAUGCUGCUGAUGUUGGAUUAAUAGUUAGACAAACAACUAAGAAGAUCAGAAGUAACAUGCUACUUUGGGUGUUGCAAAAUGACUGGACGCUACCUGUCAUCAAACCAUAGUUUACUCUCCACUUCAACAUAAAUCAAUAGCCUGCUUUUACCUCAAUGAUCAGUUGCU